Long non-coding RNA from Patella vulgata (common limpet), 864 nucleotides. RefSeq lists it as uncharacterized. Lineage: Eukaryota; Metazoa; Mollusca; Gastropoda; Patellidae. The transcript has 3 exons. The record is from RefSeq and is a predicted model, not a curated record.
CCGCGCUGUCUGAGACCAUUUUCCGUCGCAGUAGCAGUGCAGUAAGGACGCCACCCAGGUCUGACGGCUAUUAUACACAGGUAGAAAGGGUCUCAGUGCUGACAUUGACUGAUUUAUACUUAGCUAAAAGAGUACGACUUUACAAGACUGUUGAAGAAAAUGGUUUUAAAACUUAACAAAAGAUCACUAUGUUAUCGUCAUCGACAUUUAGUCGCUAUGGUGAUAUUUAUGGCGGGAAUUAUUAUUUAUCUGAAAUCGGAUUUGUGGGUCAGUAGUUUUACGACCAACCUAACCCCAACAUCUCAACACCACUCAACUUAUCAACAGAUAAAUAGUUCGCCAUUGAUUGUUUCCAAAAAUGACAAAUCUGAUAAGAUAAACAAGACUGAUUCUUUGGUAUAAUACUCUGAGCUACGUCAAACGUGCUCCACAGUUUAACCGCACUCUGCUCCCUAGGAGCAACACACUUUCACACAGCAACUUCAAAUAAGCUACCUUCUUCAUUACUCCAGUUGAUAGAGAACAGUAUUCAUUUCAAUUCAUGGGGAUCACGGUGGCUAAGUGGGUAAGACGCGCUCGGGUGUUCGAUCCCUGCAUUGGCCGAAAAUGUUCAUCCAGAUUUUCCGACGUGUUUUCCCCUUGUCAGUGAUGGAGGGCCUGACAAGGACAGCUGUCUAGUCGUUCGGAUGGGACGAAAAACCGAUUGCCGCACGUAAAAGAUCCCUUGGCAGUUGGAAUUCGUAUGCCCGUCUUCAUUAACCCUGUUUAGGAGUAGGACGUUAAACCCCAUUUCAUUUCAUUUAAUUUUAAAUACGAUCCCACUAUGAAGUUGUAGUUCUGCAACACACGUCACAUUGCUGGCAG